Molecule: ribosomal RNA, 492 nt
Filed under: uncultured Brevundimonas sp.
Lineage: Bacteria; Pseudomonadati; Pseudomonadota; Alphaproteobacteria; Caulobacterales; Caulobacteraceae
Description: bacterial SSU rRNA
Rfam family: Bacterial small subunit ribosomal RNA
Source: RNAcentral
UUAGUGGCGGACGGGUGAGUAACACGUGGGAACGUGCCUUUUGGUUCGGAAUAGCUCCUGGAAACGGGUGGUAAUGCCGAAUGUGCCCUUUGGGGGAAAGAUUUAUCGCCAUUAGAGCGGCCCGCGUCUGAUUAGCUAGUUGGUGAGGUAAAGGCUCACCAAGGCUACGAUCAGUAGCUGGUCUGAGAGGAUGACCAGCCACAUUGGGACUGAGACACGGCCCAAACUCCUACGGGAGGCAGCAGUGGGGAAUCUUGCGCAAUGGGCGAAAGCCUGACGCAGCCAUGCCGCGUGUAUGAUGAAGGUCUUAGGAUUGUAAAAUACUUUCACCGGUGAAGAUAAUGACUGUAGCCGGAGAAGAAGCCCCGGCUAACUUCGUGCCAGCAGCCGCGGUAAUACGAAGGGGGCUAGCGUUGCUCGGAAUUACUGGGCGUAAAGGGAGCGUAGGCGGACAUUUAAGUCAGGGGUGAAAUCCCAGAGCUCAACUCUGGA